AAAUGAAUUGACGGGGACCCGCACAAGCAGUGGAGUAUGUGGUUUAAUUCGACGCAACGCGAAGAACCUUACCAGGGCUUGACAUCCCUCGCCAUCCCUAGAGAUAGGGAGUUCCCUUCGGGGACGAGGAGACAGGUGGUGCAUGGUUGUCGUCAGCUCGUGUCGUGAGAUGUUCGGUUAAGUCCGGCAACGAGCGCAACCCUUGUCGUUUGUUACUACCAUUGAGUUGAGGACUCAAACGAGACUGCCGUUAACAAAACGGAGGAAGGUGGGGACGACGUCAAAUCAUCAUGCCCCUUAUGUCCUGGGCUACACACGUACUACAAUGGCUACCACAGAGGGCAACUAAACCGUGAGGUGUCGUGAAUCCCUAAAGGUAGUCCCAGUUCGGAUUGAAGGCUGCAACUCGCCUUCAUGAAGUCGGAAUUGCUAGUAAUGGCAGGUCAGCAUACUGCCGUGAAUACGUUCCCGGGUCUUGUACACACCGCCCGU
This 492-nucleotide ribosomal RNA is filed under the name uncultured bacterium. RNAcentral's name for it is "bacterial SSU rRNA". It matches the Rfam family "Bacterial small subunit ribosomal RNA", at positions 903 to 1397 of the family's 1533-position model. The record is from RNAcentral.